This 67-nucleotide transfer RNA is filed under the name Marmota monax (woodchuck). RNAcentral's name for it is "tRNA.Ala". Lineage: Eukaryota; Metazoa; Chordata; Mammalia; Rodentia; Sciuridae. The record is from RNAcentral.
GGCUGGGGCUCAGUGGCAGAGUGCUUGCCUAGCAUGUGUGAGGCACUGGGUUCGAUUCUCAGCACCA